Molecule: ribosomal RNA, 253 nt
Filed under: uncultured bacterium
Lineage: Bacteria
Description: partial 16S ribosomal RNA
Rfam family: Bacterial small subunit ribosomal RNA
Source: RNAcentral
UACAGAGGUCUCAAGCGUUGUUCGGAUUCAUUGGGCGUAAAGGGUGCGUAGGCGGCGCGGUAAGUCGGGUGUGAAAUCUCGGGGCUUAACUCCGAAACUGCAUUCGAUACUGCCGUGCUUGAGGACUGGAGAGGAGACUGGAAUUUACGGUGUAGCGGUGAAAUGCGUAGAUAUCGUAAGGAACACCAGUGGCGAAGGCGGCUCACUGGCCCGAUACUGACGCUGAGGCACGAAAGCGUGGGGAGCAAACAGG